AUUGAACGCUGGCGGCGUGCCUAACACAUGCAAGUCGAGCGGUAACAGGUGUAGCAAUACAUGCUGACGAGCGGCGGACGGGUGAGUAACGCUUGGGAAUCUGCCUGUUAGUGGGGGACAACCCGGGGAAACGUCGGGCUAAUACCGCAUACGCACUACGGUGGAAGCCGGGACCGCAAGGCCUGGCGCUAACAGAUGAGCCCAAGUCGGAUUAGCUAGUUGGUAGGGAACGGCCUACCAAGGCGACGAUCCGUAACUGGUCUGAGAGGACGACCAGUCACACCGGAACUGAGACACGGUCCGGACUCCUACGGGAGGCAGCAGUGGGGAA
RNAcentral lists this ribosomal RNA (331 nucleotides) under uncultured bacterium. RNAcentral's name for it is "bacterial SSU rRNA". It matches the Rfam family "Bacterial small subunit ribosomal RNA", at positions 29 to 361 of the family's 1533-position model. The record is from RNAcentral.